UGCUCAGCCCUUAACAUAGACAAUACAAACACAAUAUUGUCCGCCAGAGAACUACAAGUGAAAAACUAGAAACUCCAAGGACUUGGCGGUGCCCCACAUCAACCUAGAGGAGCCUGUCCUAUAAUCGAUAAUCCACGCUGUACCUUACCAUUUCUCGCAAUUCAGCCUAUAUACCGCCGUCGAAAGCCUACCUUAUGAAAGCAACAAAGUAAGCAAAAUAGUCAACAACUAAAACGUCAGGUCAAGGUGUAGCACAUGAAAUGGAAGUGAUGGGCUACAUUUUCUUCUUCAGAAAAUACGAACAGAACAAUGAAACCUGUACUCAAAGGAGGAUUUAGCAGUAAGACAAAAAAGAAACUUUGCCUUAAACCCGCUCUGGGACGCGCACACACCGCCCGUCACCCUCA
RNAcentral lists this ribosomal RNA (407 nucleotides) under Copeoglossum nigropunctatum. Its description in RNAcentral is "partial 12S ribosomal RNA". It matches the Rfam family "Bacterial small subunit ribosomal RNA", at positions 793 to 1405 of the family's 1533-position model. The record is from RNAcentral. Lineage: Eukaryota; Metazoa; Chordata; Lepidosauria; Squamata; Scincidae.